GACGAACGCUGGCGGCGUGCUUAACACAUGCAAGUCGAGCGGUAAGGCCCUUUCGGGGGUACACGAGCGGCGAACGGGUGAGUAACACGUGGGUGACCUGCCCUCAGCUCUGGGAUAAGCCUGGGAAACUGGGUCUAAUACUGGAUAUGACUCCAUGACGCAUGUUGUGGGGUGGAAAGCCUUGUGCGGCUGAGGAUGGGCCCGCGGCCUAUCAGCUUGUUGGUGGGGUGAUGGCCUACCAAGGCGA
RNAcentral lists this ribosomal RNA (247 nucleotides) under uncultured Actinomycetes bacterium. RNAcentral's name for it is "uncultured actinobacterium partial 16S ribosomal RNA". It matches the Rfam family "Bacterial small subunit ribosomal RNA", at positions 28 to 276 of the family's 1533-position model. Lineage: Bacteria; Bacillati; Actinomycetota; Actinomycetes. The record is from RNAcentral.